AUGGUUUGGGAAGAACCUAAGAUGUCGUUUCUAAAAGUUUGGGGAUGCAAUGCUUUUGUCAAGAAACUUCAACCUGAAAAGCUCGAACCCAGAUCGGAAAAAUGCGUCUUCAUAGGAUACCCUAAAGAAACUAUUGGGUAUACCUUCUACCUCAGAUCCGAAGGCAAGAUCUUUGUUGCCAAGAAUGGGUCCUUUCUAGAGAAAGAUUUUCUCUCGAAAGAAAUAAGUGGGAGGAAAAUAGAACUUGAUGAAGUAUUACCUCUUGAACCGGUAAGUGGCGCAGCUCAAGAAAAUGUUCCUGAGGUGCCUGCACCGACUAGAGAGGAAGUUGAUGAUGUUGAUCAUGAAACUUCAGAUCAAGUUGCUACUGAACUUCGUAGGUCCACGAGGACACGUUCCACACCAGAGUGGUACGGCAACCCUGUCUUGGAAAUAAUGUUGUUAGACAACGGUGAACCUUCGAACUAUGAAGAAGCGAUGGCGGUCCCGGAUUCCGACAAAUGGCUGGAAGCCAUGAAAUCCGAGAUAGGAUCCAUGUAUGAAAACGAAGUAUGA
RNAcentral lists this ribosomal RNA (555 nucleotides) under Triticum aestivum (bread wheat). RNAcentral's name for it is "partial small subunit ribosomal RNA". The record is from RNAcentral. Lineage: Eukaryota; Viridiplantae; Streptophyta; Magnoliopsida; Poales; Poaceae.